AACCUGUGAUGACACGAUUCUGCCAAAUGAAUCUGCUGAUUAUAUCCUUAUACCGUUCCUUACAUCUGAGGUU
This is a small nucleolar RNA of Carassius auratus (goldfish), 73 nucleotides long. RefSeq annotates it as small nucleolar RNA SNORD47. NCBI's taxonomy places the organism in Eukaryota, Metazoa, Chordata, Actinopteri, Cypriniformes, Cyprinidae. The transcript has a single exon. The record is from RefSeq and is a predicted model, not a curated record.